UAAACUUAAAAAAUCUGUCUCAAUGUCUGUUAUUUCUCUCCCCCCUCUAAAAUAUUGAAUGUCUGGUCGGUUACCUCAAGUCAUUUUUUGUUCAGAUUAUUAAGAUUACCUUCCCCAUCUUUUCACAUUACCACGGUGCAGCAGGCCCACUUCAAAAGUUAAAAAAUCUUAAACCACUCUGUUCAUGUUUUUAUAAUGGUAUUUAAUAGGACUAAAGCUAUGAUAGAUCCGGCACAAAUUUGAUUUACUCAAGAACAGCCAAUAUGCAAAAUUGUCCGUUAUGUUCAACAGAUAUUAAAUGUCCAUGCUGGUAGGUAAAUGUGUCUGUCAGGCACUUGGUAAGCAGCAAAG
Molecule: long non-coding RNA, 351 nt
Filed under: Bos taurus (domestic cattle)
Lineage: Eukaryota; Metazoa; Chordata; Mammalia; Artiodactyla; Bovidae
Description: long non-coding RNA NONBTAT013636
Source: RNAcentral